CGUGGGUAACCUGCCCAAGAGAUCGGGAUAACACCUGGAAACAGAUGCUAAUACCGGAUAACAACAGAUGAUGCCUAUCAACUGUUUAAAAGAUGGUUCUGCUAUCACUCUUGGAUGGACCUGCGGUGCAUUAGCUAGUUGGUAGGGUAACGGCCUACCAAGGCGAUGAUGCAUAGCCGAGUUGAGAGACUGAUCGGCCACAUUGGGACUGAGACACGGCCCAAACUCCUACGGGAGGCAGCAGAA
This 246-nucleotide ribosomal RNA is filed under the name uncultured Lactobacillus sp. Its description in RNAcentral is "partial 16S ribosomal RNA". It matches the Rfam family "Bacterial small subunit ribosomal RNA", at positions 116 to 354 of the family's 1533-position model. Lineage: Bacteria; Bacillati; Bacillota; Bacilli; Lactobacillales; Lactobacillaceae. The record is from RNAcentral.